UUGCUGCUGGAGGGCCAGAUAGGUCAAACGUGAGCCCACUAAAGUCUGAAGCCCGUGGCCUGGGUCAAUGGCCCACAUUGCACUUGGUGGGUGCGUUGGCCCAUCAUCUCCCCAAGUGGGAGAAUGAACGUCAUAAUUUGUGAUAAUGGGGGUACGCGUUCGCGCGGCCCCUGC
Molecule: small nuclear RNA, 174 nt
Filed under: Aegilops tauschii subsp. strangulata
Lineage: Eukaryota; Viridiplantae; Streptophyta; Magnoliopsida; Poales; Poaceae
Description: snRNA U1
Rfam family: U1 spliceosomal RNA
About the family: U1 is a small nuclear RNA (snRNA) component of the spliceosome (involved in pre-mRNA splicing). Its 5' end forms complementary base pairs with the 5' splice junction, thus defining the 5' donor site of an intron.
Source: RNAcentral